GCUAGGGAAUGACCCCUAAGUCGUCUCCCAAAGACCAAUUCUACGGUUCAAGAAUCGACUCUAACACGAAAAGGGGGGGUUUGUGAAAAGGGUUUUGCAAAAAUUAAAGAAGUCGAUAAAGACACAGAUGAUGCAAACAAACUAAUUUAAGCUAGCAUGGUAAUAAAACUAACACUAUAAAAAAAAAACCUUAGACAACAUUCAAACAAAAUAAAAUAAAAUACUAGACACCAACACCAUUACACACAACUAUCUAACAAACUUAAAUUAAAUUAAAUGCAAUACUCAACAAAGAAAAAAAAUGAAACACAACUCAAUAUACUAUGCCAAAUAUUUUAAAGCAAAGAAAUGAAUGAAUAUAGUUUGCCUCCACCAAUUCACGUGACUUCCCAAGCUUAGGUGAAGAAAAUUAAUUCCUCUCUCCUCCAAAGGGGUGACUUAACUUGCUUUGCUACCAAAGAGUAAAAAGAAAUACUUUUCUUCUUCUACAAAAUCACUUUGUCGAGACACCCUUUUACCAAAUUCCAUUUCAUUCUCUCUCAUCAAAGGCAAUGACCAUGAGCUUUAUUCCAUUCUCCAAGAAAGCAACUUGAUUAAAUCACAAAAUUGUGAAGCAAAUCCCAAGAAUGUUUGACUUCCACCUCUUCUACCUUGCAUUGAAUUCCAUUUCUUCAAUCCAUCACCGUGGGCCCCUUUGCCAAAAGGAAUUUCCAAUUCUCACUUCUCAAGAAACCAAGGACGUAGCUUACCAAUUUGAAUGGUCCUCCUUGCAGCCGUGACAUCCUUCUCCCAUUCUUGGUCAACUUUGCAAUGUAAUAUAAAACAACAAAAGAAAAACUUCCUUGAAGAUGCCAAGCCGGACGUCCGUAGCUUCCCAAGGUAAGGCUAUCUUCUUUCCAUCUCUUCUCCCAAGGCUAAUAAAACUCAACAAAGAUGAACCAAUGCAAACUACUUCACUCAAAAUCAUCCACGGUACAAGCUCACCUACUACUAUCCAAUCACCUUUUCAUUCUUCAAAGUG
RNAcentral lists this long non-coding RNA (1021 nucleotides) under Vigna radiata. RNAcentral describes it as "long non-coding RNA (VRAD_LNC012895)". Lineage: Eukaryota; Viridiplantae; Streptophyta; Magnoliopsida; Fabales; Fabaceae. The record is from RNAcentral.